Molecule: long non-coding RNA, 858 nt
Organism: Arvicanthis niloticus (Nile rat)
Lineage: Eukaryota; Metazoa; Chordata; Mammalia; Rodentia; Muridae
Source: RefSeq, a predicted model, not a curated record
GAGAAUGAAGGGGCUGUAUCCACCCUUGCAGAUGGAGAAUGAAUGUCAAGCUGGGAACUAGAACUUUCUUUGCUUUGAGAUUUUUCUUUUUCCUUUUAGGAGCUGAUAUCCUGAAAGACUCUUCCUUUCUGCUGUUUUCCCUUUCCACUCUGCUGGAAGAAAUUGUAAAACCUACAUCCUGUUUGGUUCUGGGAGAAAGGUGAUCCUGGAGGGCUGAGACAUGCUGGUCUACCCAGGACAGGAAGGGCACCAUUUCAGGACAUCAAGGAGGACACUAGCCUGGCCUGUCAUAGUGUUAUGGUUUGAUUGAUUAUGUUAAAGGCAAUCCUGGGACAUACAGUGACCAGGUACUUGGUCCAGCGAUACUGACUCCCUGCCGUUGAAGAGAGAGAAAGACUGAGGUGAUCUUCAACUGUUCAGCAUUUAGCAAAAUCUGGCAUAUAGUCCAAACAGCCCUCCUCCUCCACCCUUCCUGCCCAUCCUGAGCAGCCUUCCAAGAAAGCUGGAUUACAGUGGACUGCAGUCCUCGGGGCUGAGGAAUGGGCACUCUGCUUCUGCCCAGCUUUUGAGGAUUCUUCCUUGCCUUCUGCUGGAAAGAAGGGGCUGGCUCCUCCCACCUGAGCUGGCAGGCUAACCAGUUGGCUCUGUGGCUCAGUGGUGCCAACGCCCUGGUCGAGAUGCACUGGCGAUGAUAAUGACUGCUGUGCUUUGCCUGUAAUUAUGCAGUCUCCACGCCCCCCGGGGCUGGCAUGGUUGUAUUUGCCUGUGCUGUUUGGGGGUUGAUCCUACUGUCAGCGCUUAGCAAGAAUUAACAGUGACACUCCGUGCACCACAGUCAUAACACUAAAUCUGAUGUGC